GACGAACGCUGGCGGCGUGCUUAACACAUGCAAGUCGAACGGAAAGGCCCUGCUUUUGUGGGGUGCUCGAGUGGCGAACGGGUGAGUAACACGUGAGUAACCUGCCCUUGACUUUGGGAUAACUUCAGGAAACUGGGGCUAAUACCGGAUAGGAGCUCCUGCGGCAUGGGGGGGGUUGGAAAGUUUCGGCGGUUGGGGAUGGACUCGCGGCUUAUCAGCUUGUUGGUGGGGUAGUGGCUUACCAAGGCUUUGACGGGUAGCCGGCCUGAGAGGGUGACCGGCCACAUUGGGACUGAGAUACGGCCCAGACUCCUACGGGAGGCAGCAGUGGGGAAUAUUGCACAAUGGGCGGAAGCCUGAUGCAGCAACGCCGCGUGCGGGAUGACGGCCUUCGGGUUGUAAACCGCUUUCGCCUGUGACGAAGCGUGAGUGACGGUAAUGGGUAAAGAAGCACCGGCUAACUACGUG
RNAcentral lists this ribosomal RNA (468 nucleotides) under uncultured bacterium. RNAcentral's name for it is "partial 16S ribosomal RNA". It matches the Rfam family "Bacterial small subunit ribosomal RNA", at positions 28 to 507 of the family's 1533-position model. The record is from RNAcentral.